This 74-nucleotide non-coding RNA is filed under the name Leptospira inadai serovar Lyme str. 10. The record is from RNAcentral. Lineage: Bacteria; Pseudomonadati; Spirochaetota; Leptospiria; Leptospirales; Leptospiraceae.
AAGAGCCGAAUGCGGGAAAUCUGCACGUUCGGUUCGUUGAGGGGGAUGGAAGUCUAACAGACUUCCAUCUCUAC